RNAcentral lists this ribosomal RNA (253 nucleotides) under uncultured bacterium. RNAcentral describes it as "partial 16S ribosomal RNA". It matches the Rfam family "Bacterial small subunit ribosomal RNA", at positions 524 to 776 of the family's 1533-position model. The record is from RNAcentral.
UACGGAGGGUGCGAGCGUUAUCCGGAUUUAUUGGGUUUAAAGGGUCCGUAGGCGGUAUAAUAAGUCAGUGGUGAAAUCCUACAGCUUAACUGUAGAAUUGCCAUUGAUACUGUUAUACUUGAAUAAGGUUGAGGUAGCUAGAAUGUGUAGUGUAGCGGUGAAAUGCAUAGAGAUUACACAGAAUACCGAUAGCGAAGGCAGGUUACUAAGCCUUUAUUGACGCUGAUGGACGAAAGCGUGGGGAGCAAACAGG